This 73-nucleotide transfer RNA is filed under the name Dryococelus australis. RNAcentral's name for it is "tRNA-OTHER". It matches the Rfam family "tRNA". From Rfam's summary of the family: Transfer RNA (tRNA) molecules are approximately 80 nucleotides in length. The record is from RNAcentral. Lineage: Eukaryota; Metazoa; Arthropoda; Insecta; Phasmatodea; Phasmatidae.
GGGGGCGUAGCUCAGAUGGUAGAGCUCUCACUUAGCAUACGAGAGGCACCGGGAUCGAUAACCGGCGCCUCCA